RNA transcript from Lathyrus oleraceus (garden pea), 2023 nucleotides. It is a transcript of the gene named serine/arginine-rich splicing factor SC35, with no coding region annotated. NCBI's taxonomy places the organism in Eukaryota, Viridiplantae, Streptophyta, Magnoliopsida, Fabales, Fabaceae. The record is from RefSeq and is a predicted model, not a curated record. The transcript has 9 exons.
AAAUCGCGAAGGUUCUUUGCAAAACCCCCAUUCAUUUCUCAUCUUCUUCAUUCUGCUCUCUCUCUGCAUCCAAUUCUCAAUUUCGAAUCAACCAUGUCGCACUUCGGAAGAUCCGGUCCUCCCGAUAUCUCCGACACCUACUCUCUACUCGUCCUCAACAUCACUUUUCGUACAACCCCCGAUGACCUAUUUCCUCUCUUUGACAAAUACGGCAAAGUUGUUGACAUUUUCGUCCCCAAAGAUAGAAGGACCGGUGAAUCAAGAGGUUUCGCUUUUGUGCGUUACAAGUAUGCUGAUGAAGCUUCUAAGGCCGUUGAUAGGCUCGACGGAAGAAUGGUUGAUGGUCGUGAAAUAACUGUUCAGUUUGCGAAAUAUGGCCCUAAUGCUGAGAGGAUUCAGAAAGGAAGGAUUAUUGAAACAUCCCCAAGAUCGAAGAGCUCAAGGAGCCGCAGUCCCAGCAGGAGAAGGCACCGUGAUGAUUACAAAGGCAAGGAUUACAGGAGGAGAAGUCGCAGCAGGAGUUAUGAUAGGUAUGAACGCGACAGGUACCGCGGUGGGAGAGACAGGGACUAUCGUCGCCGAAGCAGAAGCCGUAGUGCCAGUCCUGAUCACAAGGGCCGUGGAAGGGGACGCUAUGAUGAUGAGCGCCGUAGUGCCAGUCCUGAUUACAAGGGCCGUGGAAGGGGACGCUAUGAUGAUGAGCGCCGUAGUAGAAACCGAAGCAGAUCAGUAGAAAGCCGAUCCCCUGCCCAACGAAGUCCUAGUCCAAUAAGGAGCCCUUCUCCUAAGAAGAGUAUUUCCCCUCAAAGGAGUACUUCUCCCCAGAAAAGUCCACGUCAUGAAAGUCCUGAUAAUCGUAGCCGUGAUGAAAGGUCUCUUACUCCACGAAGUGUCUCACCACGAGGUCGCCCUGAUGUUUCCCCAAGCCCAUCUCCUUGAAAUUCAAAUGGCGAUGAGUAAGCGGUUUUCAGGAUGUAUUCCAGAGACAACUGUACCUGUUGCUGUCUUGAUUCGAACAAUUUGGUCAGUGUGAAUGGUCUUAUCAGAGUCAUUAAAGGAAUUUAUGGCCUAAGUGCAGUUUGUUAUGAUGAUCGGGAGAAGUGACGGGGGCCUGAUAGGCGCGUGUUGAAAUUGUUGCUGUUGAUGCUGUUUUUAUGUCAUUGAUGAUUGUUCGCGAGUUUGGUGCUGGUUGCAAGACUGCUGAUUUUAAAACCGAAUUGUUUUAUCAGUGUGCUGGUUAGAAUGACACUUAGUUGACUUGAUUUUUUGUUGUGAAUGAUUUGAAUUUUGGUAAGCAUUUUUGUUCACGUUUUAUUUUCCUUUUAUAUCUUUCACGUCCUCUGAGAAUUCUGAUUUUGAUCUGGUAAUCAUGAUUGGUCUUCAUCAAUUAAAAUUGUCCUGAGAGGAAUUCUUGAUGCUGUGAUGGACACAAGUUGAAUGUAUUUUGAUGUGGUUGAUGCCUGGUAGGAGUUGGACCUGUCAUUUGUUGAUUGCAGAUAGUAAUUAUAAACAGUGCUACUGAAUAUGAACUCUAAUUUGCUGGUGUAUUACCUCAAUUUGAAUCACAGUGAAGAGGUCAAUGCUAAAAUAUUCAAGGUUACUUUUUAAGGGUAUUUUACUGGAUACUUAUUUAACAUCAACCUUCAAAGUUUAUAAUAUCUGCUACUUAAUGUAGUGGGAUGCCCCGUGAUUGUAGCUGUGAGGUGGUUGCCGAUCCAUCUCUAAUAUGAAUGUAUGUCCGUGAUUGUACCUGAUUGUUGUGCCCUUUUUGCCGGGGUCGUGUUUGCAAUGUUAUUAGCUGUUAGUAGUUGGUACCAGAUGAUGGUUAUUUAGCUGUGCUGCUGGAUGGUUUUUGUUGUUUCUAAAACCAUCAGACGGAGUUCUUUUCUAGUUUCAUCUUUGAUAAUUUAUUCAUUUGUAUGAAAUAAUCUUUGUAUUGUGGUUUGGUUAUUGUUCUGCAGCUGUAAUAAACAUGCAAACUUUAGAGAUCUUUAAUUUGAGGUUUCAGUAGGUUUUUGAAUCA